RNAcentral lists this non-coding RNA (88 nucleotides) under bovine gut metagenome. RNAcentral's name for it is "TPP riboswitch (THI element)". It matches the Rfam family "TPP riboswitch aptamer (THI element)", at positions 8 to 91 of the family's 105-position model. Rfam says of the family: Vitamin B(1) in its active form thiamin pyrophosphate (TPP) is an essential coenzyme that is synthesised by coupling of pyrimidine and thiazole moieties in bacteria. The record is from RNAcentral.
UAUCCGGGGAGCCAAGUGGCUGAGAGGAGGACUUUUCGUCCUCGACCCGCAGACCUGAUUUGGGUAAUGCCAACGUAGGGAAGAUCAA